GAUCCUGACGGUAGUCGUAUGCUCGUCUCCGAGACUAAGCCAUGCAAGUCCAAGUACACGUCCUUGAACGACGGAAAACUGCGAACGGCUCAUUAAAAUCAGUUGCGAUCUACUCGGCGUUCCGCGCCGCCGGAUAACCGUAGUAAUUCUAGGGCUAAUACGUGCGAAGCGCCCGAAGCCGCGAGGCGACGGGCGUUCUCGCCGGAUGUAGGAACCGACCCGGGGACCGCCGGGGCAACCCGGCGCCCCCGAGACGGGGCGAACCACGGUGAAAUGACGGAUCGUCGGCCCCGCGCCGGCGACUCGCCGAAUGAGUUUCUGACCUAUCAACUCGAGACGGCGGGGUAGAGGCCCGCCGCGGUAACGACGGGUAACGGGGAAUCAGGGUUCGAUUCCGGAGAGGGAGCCCGAGAAACGGCUACCACUUCCAAGGAAGGCAGCAGGCGCGCAACUACCCU
This 458-nucleotide ribosomal RNA is filed under the name uncultured eukaryote. RNAcentral's name for it is "bacterial SSU rRNA". It matches the Rfam family "Eukaryotic small subunit ribosomal RNA", at positions 10 to 446 of the family's 1831-position model. The record is from RNAcentral.